RNAcentral lists this long non-coding RNA (358 nucleotides) under Mytilus galloprovincialis (Mediterranean mussel). Lineage: Eukaryota; Metazoa; Mollusca; Bivalvia; Mytilida; Mytilidae. The record is from RNAcentral.
ACAGAUACAAAAGGGGACGAAUUUUACCUAGGAUUGUUAACAAGUAACAACCAAAAUGGAAAACUAUAUUUGUAUAUAGUGUCCACAACUGACGGAUCAUGUGAAAUCUUUAUCCCAUUUCUGAACAUACAUUCGUCAUUCGCAAUAUCUAACACGAGCAUAAACUUAUACGACAUUAGCCCGUCUUUGGUUAUGAAUCAACUUGGUGUACAGAGAAAAGUUAUUCACGUAAGAUGUAAUAAUCCCGUGUCUAUUUAUGGUUUUACUUAAAACUGGUAACGAGGUUGAUGGAUUUCUUGCUCUUCCAUCAAAAUCUUUAGAAACAAAUACAUAGUUUCAUCAUUUACACCGUGGACUA